RNAcentral lists this ribosomal RNA (253 nucleotides) under uncultured bacterium. RNAcentral's name for it is "partial 16S ribosomal RNA". It matches the Rfam family "Bacterial small subunit ribosomal RNA", at positions 524 to 776 of the family's 1533-position model. The record is from RNAcentral.
UACGUAGGGUGCGAGCGUUAAUCGGAAUUACUGGGCGUAAAGCGUGCGCAGGCGGUUUUGUAAGCCAGGUGUGAAAUCCCCGGGCUCAACCUGGGAACUGCAUUUGUGACUGCAUGGCUAGAGUACGGUAGAGGGGGAUGGAAUUCCGCGUGUAGCAGUGAAAUGCGUAGAUAUGCGGAGGAACACCGAUGGCGAAGGCAAUCCCCUGGACCUGUACUGACGCUCAUGCACGAAAGCGUGGGGAGCAAACAGG